CGAACGCUGGCGGUGCGCCUUAUGCAUGCAAGUCGAGCGAAGCUUUUCAGUAGUUUACUACAGAAAAUGACUGAGCGGCGAACGGGUGAGUAACGCGUGAGCAAUCUACCUUAGUUACAGGGAUAGCCCGAGGAAACUCGGAUUAAUACCUGAUAUUCUUUACAUUUCGCAUGAAAUCAAAAGGAAAGGUCAGCCGAACUAAGAUGAGCUCGCGUUCUAUCAGCUAGUUGGUGAGGUAAAAGCUCACCAAGGCAACGACGGAUAGCUGGUCUGAGAGGACGAUCAGCCACACUGGGACUGAGACACGGCCCAGACUCCUACGGGAGGCUGCAGCAGGGAAUAUUGCGCAAUGAGCGAAAGCUUGACGCAGCGACACCGCGUGUGGGAUGACGGAUCUAGGUUUGUAAACCACUUUCAGGAGGGAAGAAAAUGACGGUACCUCCACAAGAAGCCCCGGCCAACUACGUGCC
RNAcentral lists this ribosomal RNA (470 nucleotides) under uncultured bacterium. Its description in RNAcentral is "bacterial SSU rRNA". It matches the Rfam family "Bacterial small subunit ribosomal RNA", at positions 30 to 509 of the family's 1533-position model. The record is from RNAcentral.